Molecule: ribosomal RNA, 292 nt
Filed under: uncultured bacterium
Lineage: Bacteria
Description: partial 16S ribosomal RNA
Rfam family: Bacterial small subunit ribosomal RNA
Source: RNAcentral
GUGUCAGCAGCCGCGGUAAUACGGAGGGUGCGAGCGUUGUCCGGAAUCAUUGGGCGUAAAGGGCGCGUAGGUGGCCUGGUAAGCGUGCGGUGAAAGCCUGGGGCUCAACCCCGGGUCGGCCGUGCGAACUGCUAGGCUUGAGCACUGUAGAGGCAGGCGGAAUUCCGGGUGUAGCGGUGGAAUGCGUAGAGAUCCGGAAGAACACCGGUGGCGAAGGCGGCCUGCUGGGCAGUUGCUGACACUGAGGCGCGACAGCGUGGGGAGCAAACAGGAUUAGAAACCCUCGUAGUCC